CCUACGGGAGGCAGCAGUGAGGAAUAUUGGUCAAUGGACGAGAGUCUGAACCAGCCAAGUAGCGUGAAGGAUGACUGCCCUAUGGGUUGUAAACUUCUUUUAUAUGGGAAUAAACUGUUCCACGUGUGGGAUUUUGUAUGUACCAUAUGAAUAAGGAUAGGCUAACUCCGUGCCAGCAGCCGCGGUAAUACGGAGGAUCCGAGCGUUAUCCGGAUUUAUUGGGUUUAAAGGGAGCGUAGGUGGAUUGUUAAGUCAGUUGUGAAAGUUUGCGGCUCAACCGUAAAAUUGCAGUUGAAACUGGCAGUCUUGAGUACAGUAGAGGUGGGCGGAAUUCGUGGUGUAGCGGUGAAAUGCUUAGAUAUCACGAAGAACUCCGAUUGCGAAGGCAGUUCACUGGACUGCAACUGACACUGAGGCUCGAAAGUGUGGGUAUCAAACAGGAUUAGAUACCCCAGUAGUC
RNAcentral lists this ribosomal RNA (460 nucleotides) under uncultured bacterium. Its description in RNAcentral is "partial 16S ribosomal RNA". It matches the Rfam family "Bacterial small subunit ribosomal RNA", at positions 338 to 795 of the family's 1533-position model. The record is from RNAcentral.